RNAcentral lists this ribosomal RNA (445 nucleotides) under uncultured bacterium. Its description in RNAcentral is "partial 16S ribosomal RNA". It matches the Rfam family "Bacterial small subunit ribosomal RNA", at positions 354 to 796 of the family's 1533-position model. The record is from RNAcentral.
GUGGGGAAUAUUGCGCAAUGGGCGGGAGCCUGAACCAGCCAAGUCGCGUGAAGGAAGAAGGAUCUAUGGUUCGUAAACUUCUUUUGCAGGGGAAUAAAGUGCAGGACGUGUCCUGUUUUGUAUGUACCCUGAGAAUAAGGAUCGGCUAACUCCGUGCCAGCAGCCGCGGUAAUACGGAGGAUCCGAGCGUUAUCCGGAUUUAUUGGGUUUAAAGGGUGCGUAGGUGGUUUGAUAAGUCAGCGGUGAAAGUUUGCAGCUUAACUGUAAAAAUGCCGUUGAAACUGUCGGACUUGAGUGUAAAUGAGGUAGGCGGAAUGCGUGGUGUAGCGGUGAAAUGCAUAGAUAUCACGCAGAACUCCGAUUGCGAAGGCAGCUUACUAAGCUACAACUGACACUGAAGCACGAAGGCGUGGGGAUCAAACAGGAUUAGAUACCCGAGUAGUCC